CCCCCCGCCCGUUUUUUUAAACGAAACAUAGUCAGUAGAAAUUCCACAAAAAGAUUAUUGAUAUUUUCUGCCCGGUGUAAAUUAUUAACGGCCGCAGUACCUUGACUGUGCUAAGGUAGCAUAAUCAAUUGGCUAUUAAUUGUAGUCUGGAAUGAAAGAAGUAAUGAAUAGUAACUAUAAUAAUUAGUAUUAUUUUAAUUUAUUUAUCUGGUGAAAAUACCAGUAAAUUAGAAAAAAGACGAGAAGACCCUUAGAAUUUUUAAAGAAAAGUGUAAAAUUAUUUCCUUUUAAGGAAAAUAGACUACAUCCUAAUUUUUUGUUGGGGCGACAAGAAAACAAAAAUUCCAAAACUUUUCUAUUUAAAUUUUUUUAAAAAAUUAAUUAAAUCUGACGAAAUUUUUAUGAAUAGCUAAAUUACCUUAGGGAUAACAGCAUAAUGAUAAAUAUUAGUUUGUGACCUCGAUGUUGGACUAGGAACUUUAUCACUAACAGUGUAAAAAGAAUGUUCUGUUCGAACAAGAAUUUCCUACAUGAUCUGAUUUCAGACCCCGGCNGNCGA
Molecule: ribosomal RNA, 559 nt
Filed under: Physella gyrina
Lineage: Eukaryota; Metazoa; Mollusca; Gastropoda; Physidae
Description: partial 16S ribosomal RNA
Rfam family: Archaeal large subunit ribosomal RNA (bases 10-167)
Source: RNAcentral